CUCCUCUUAGCUGUUGCCUGGAGCUUUCUGGAUAUUUCCUCUAAAUCUCUCAGUGAUGUGCCAGUGGCAACCAGAACAUGGUGCACGUGGCUCGCGGAAGUGCAGCUGGAUGGUGCUUACCAGUGUGGAUGUCAGGAAGCUGGAAUCCUGAACGCAGGGCACUGUUGCCUGAGAGGGUCAUCCACAUCUCGUCACCUACACCCUGGCAAGGAAGCUGGGCACCAGGACAGCCCAGCCCAGGUUGUGGACACGUGCUGUACUGUGGCCUCUCCAGACAGCCUUCUUGCACCGGGAUCUGAACACACUCAUGUUCACAGCAGCUCUUCUCACUGUGGCCGCAAGUGGAGAAGCCAGGUGUCCAGCAGUGGAGGAGUGGAUAAGCAAAACAUAUACCCACACAUGGAACAUUACUCAGCUCUAGAGAGCAGUGGUAUUGGCACAUCUUCCACAAGCUGGAUGGACCUUACAGGCUGCUCAGCAGGAGAAGCCUGCCACCGAGGACUACAUGUUCUGUGACUCCACUAGAGGACAUGUCUGGGAGGAGCCAAUCCAUAUAGAAAGACAAGUGGCUGCUAGGCACUGGGGGGAGUCGCCUUUUAUGUAAUGUCCUAAAAUACCAGGGCUAAUGACCCCUGCGUGUCUUGAUUCCUCACUGAGACACCUUUACAUGUUUAAAAAUGGCUUUGAGAUAUAAACCAUAUAACUCUGCUGUUUGGAAAA
Canis lupus familiaris (dog) is the source of this 720-nucleotide long non-coding RNA. RefSeq lists it as uncharacterized. NCBI's taxonomy places the organism in Eukaryota, Metazoa, Chordata, Mammalia, Carnivora, Canidae. The transcript is spliced from 3 exons. The record is from RefSeq and is a predicted model, not a curated record.